This 2772-nucleotide long non-coding RNA is filed under the name Lynx pardinus (Iberian lynx). Lineage: Eukaryota; Metazoa; Chordata; Mammalia; Carnivora; Felidae. The record is from RNAcentral.
ACGUGUCAGCCAAAGAUGGCUGCGUUCAGGCUAGUUGAGCAAAGGUUGGCGUGAACCCCAGCGUGCCGAGGAGGGUUGUGAGCAGAGCAUAAGGUAAUGGCAUUCUGGGGAAAGGGUGCAGUAAAUGUUCGGGCACCAAGAGAGGUACAGCGCGGUGACGUGCCGCUCACCUGCAGCGCGGGAAUGAGAUCCACUGACUGGGUCGGAAGAGGGAGGAGGGGAGACGACGCCUACCUUCUCUUCACUUUACAUCCUAGAAGAAAAGACCUUAUAUUUAAAUUAAGCUAAUAGAAAAAAAAAAAAAAGUCUGCGUUUGAAUUUAAUCCUGGCUUUACUGCUAAUAGCCAGGGUGACCCUGGCCUAACUUAAUUUUCAGAGGCCCCACUUGGCCCUUUGCCUAUCUAAGAGCUAUCCUGAGGGAUGUGAGAUAGCUAAGGCAAAAGCUUUUAAAAAUGUUUGUAGGAUUUAAAGGUGACAUUGUUUUGGACUUGGAUUCAUUAUGUUUUUGUUUUUAUUUUAUUAAAAAUUUUUUUGAAAGUAAUCUUUACACCCAAAGUGGGGCUCAAACUCACGACCCCCGAAAUCAAGAGUCGCAUGCUCUUUGAACUGAGGACCCCCGAGAUCAAGAGUCGCAUGCUCUUCGGACUGAGCAGCCAGGCACCCCUGGAUGUAUUGUUAGUAACGCAGAUACAAAGGCCUACUGCAGGCUGCUAUGGCAGAACUUUUUUGAAUUAAGGAAGACUUUUAAUAGCCACAUGUUAGAAAAAGCUAGUUCACAGAACUCGGAACCUCGUCAAUAUGCAGAGCAUAAAAUAGAAAACUAGUCCAGCAGCAGGCUGGACUUUCUAAGGAAACAAUUUAUUUCAGAACUAUAUACAUCGUACACUUUCUCAGUACAUUUUUUAGAUUUUUUUUAAUAAUAUCUAUUUUAGAAGGAGAGACAGAGCGUGAGCGGGGGAGGGGCAGAGAGGGAGGGAGACAGAAUCUGAAACAGGCUCUGCGGUGUCAGCGCAGAGGGGUCUUGAACUCAGGAACAGCGAGAUCACGACUCGAGCUGAAGUCGGUGGCUUAACCGACUGAGCCAGCCAGGCGCCCCAAAUUUCUCUGUAUAUACUGAAUUUAUAUAUCUAUCCACACAACACACGUGCGCCUCCAGCACAUAAACAGAAUUAUUCAAAGUUCCUGUAGGUCAGAGAUGGUGUCUGUCAUGGUACUAUAACCAAGACCCUCAAAAAGUUUGUGUCCAGGAAACUAGAUGUAAAUUUCUAAGUCUAUAUUGUACUUAUUAAUUUUAAAUCUAGGGAUAUGAAAUUUCAUUUCACUCAACAUGUUCCAAAUGAGGUCUUAUAUCUAACAGGUACCCAGCAAGAAAUCGGUGUUGUAAAUUAAUCUCAUAGCAAAUGUAUAACAAGAAUCUAAUUUCAUAAAACUGUGUUGUAUUUUGCUGUUAUUUCUGAACUUUUGCUUUGAACUCUGCUACCUUGAAAUCUUGUUUAAUGAGCUAAAUCUUCAGGCUAAUACUCAUAGUUCACCAUCCCCCUACUCUACAUUACUAGCUGGCCCGUUAGAGAAAGUGUGCAGAUUUCUACUUUAGGGUAUACCUGAAAGUGAAAUUGAUUAUAUGUUUCUUCUACCUACUAAACAAUACCAAAUUCUUUAUUCUAAAGUGGUUGUAUCCAAAGUGGGUACAGUGUACACUUUGACCAGUGGCACAUGAGAGUUCCAGUUACCCAGCAUUUUUGCCAGUAAUUGAAAUUGUGAGGUUUUAAUUUAGCCAUCCCAGGUACAGACUGAUAUCUCAUGGUGGUUUUAAUUUUUUAUAAUGAGGUUAAACAUAUUUUCAUAUUUAUUGGCUGUUUGCUUCCCUCUUUGUGAAAGUACCUGUUCAAACCUUGUGCCAACUUUUCUAUUGGGUUGCUUGCCUUUUUCUUGAUAUAUGCACUUCUUUACAUAUUCUGGGUACUAACUGCUCCUCUGUCAGUUAUAUUGCAGACAUUUUCUCCCAGACUGGCUUAUCUUUAUAGUAGCUAUUGAUCAACCCAAGUUCUUAAUUUUAAUCAGUAAUAUUGGCUUAAUGUUAGCUUUAGGUGUUAUGUUUAGUGCUGUUUACAAAUUCAGAAAUAUUUUAAGGAUUAUAAAGCUAUUCUGUAUUUCCUAGAAGCUUUAUGGGUUGCUUUUCAUGUUCUGAUUCUAUUUCACUUAGAAUAUAUUUUUUGGUAUGGUGUGUAUGCAUUGAUUUUUCAGAUUAUGAAUUCAAGCUAUAGCUAAUUUUUUAAUUAAAUAUUUAUGGUAUUUAUAAAGCUUUUUAUAAGACUUUUUGUUGUUUUUCUAUAGAUACAUAUUAUUGAGAAAUAUUUAAUUUUUUAAGGCUCAAGAUGAAAAAUCAUGAACCAGAUGAUACUGUCAAGGAAGACUUAAUUUUCAAUAUCAUAACCAGAAAAAUUAACCACCUCCCAGAAGCAGAAAGGUAAUUUAAUUUAAAUUUAAUUUAAAAAUAUCUUUUACCAGGUGGAUUUUCGUCAUUCGUUCAUUAUCUCACAUUUAUUUGAUUUGAAUAUAAACAUAAAAUGUCAGAAGGAAACUGAGUUCUUUUUCUUGCCUUACUGAGAAAACCCAAGACCAGGAGAGGUUAACUAUUUUGCUUGAAGUUAAGGCUAGAAUUCAUGCCUUUGGACAUAUCUAAUUAUAUGAUAGUGCUCAGUUUUUCCAUUUGGGUAAGAGUAUAGUCAGUUGUGAACAUUUAUAGACUCAUCUAAAUAAUAGACCUUUAAG